CGCGUAGGCGGUCUUGUCGGUCAGAUGUGAAAGCCCAGGGCUCAACCCUGGACGUGCAUUUGAAACAGCAAGACCUGAGUACGGGAGAGGAAAGCGGAAUUCCUGGUGUAGAGGUGAAAUUCGUAGAUAUCAGGAGGAACACCGAUGGCGAAGGCAGCUUUCUGGACCGAUACUGACGCUGAGGCGCGAAGGCGUGGGUAGCGAACAGGAUUAGAUACCCUGGUAGUCC
This 229-nucleotide ribosomal RNA is filed under the name uncultured bacterium. RNAcentral's name for it is "partial 16S ribosomal RNA". It matches the Rfam family "Bacterial small subunit ribosomal RNA", at positions 568 to 796 of the family's 1533-position model. The record is from RNAcentral.